AUGAGCAAGUUCCACUGGGACAGAACAAAAAGUACAUGGAGUCUGGAGCUCAGCCAGACUCCAGCUCUGCCACUCAUGGUGGUGCCACGUCGGACCCGGUCCGCCCUCACUGUGAAGCAGGAUGUUGGUGACUGCCUCGCAAGGCCAGGUGCAGAGGGCCUAGUGCACUGCCCAGCACUUGGCUCACAAGGGCAGGUGUUGACACCAACUGAAGCCAACGCCCUAGAAGCUUUUACAUCUUUGAUCCUACUGCCUUCUGCUCAUCUAUCAACUGGUGAAUUAAUGAGGAGUACUAAACCAAGUUAAAGAAGAUAUGGCUCUUGUCUGCUGGGAACCUACCUUCUGGUUCAUGAGACAAGAGAUACACAGAGGACAGAACCAGAGGACAGGGCAAGACAUCUUAUAACCAGGUGGGUGCCAGAAAGAGUAUCCUGGAAGGGGGUUCCCAUUCCCAGGGCUGACACACUGGUAAAAGCAGCUGGUUGUGUGGUGGUAUGCUACAGGCCCAGUGUUCUCAGUAGCAGUUAAGGGCCUGUGUUUGUGAGUGUAUAAUUAAAAAUAAAGCAGAAUAAGAAUAUUUUUCUAUACCAUUACUCUCAGUCAUGCACAAUCUAUGACAGGCUCUUAAAGCAGUAGAUAAAGGGGCACAAUUAUAGCUGGCAUUUAAUCUCUACUGCUUUCCAUAAUCUGAACCGUGCCCCACCAAUCCCUACCUGGGGGCCCCACCCCUUACCUGGGAAUCUGUGGUCUGUGGGAGCCCUGUUUAUUUCACAGAGGAUGGUAGCCAACACUUGCUAACCACUGACACAUGAUUGAAGGACAGAGGGAAGAGACCUGUGGGUCUGAAGACAAAGCAAAUCCUCAAAGGAUGGACUCAAAGCUUGCGCCAGGCUGGGGUAGGGGUGGGGAGUGCAGCCAGCCAGGGCCUGGUCCAAGCCCCCAUCGUGCCUUUGGAUACUGCCAUUUUGCUUCCUCUUGUUCCCUUACAGAAUAUGCUCCACGCGGCAGCCAGAAGAAACAUUUGAAAACAAAUUAGAUCAUGCUGCUUCUCUGCUCUGGAUCUUUCAAUCACUUUCCAAAGUACUGGGAGCGAUAUCCUAACCCGUUUAUGCCUCUCAGGUUUAUGAGAACCAGCUUCCACUAUCUUUCCUACCUAACUUCCGCCUCCUCUCCUUUUGUGCUCCGCUCCUUAACCACACAGCAUUCUCCAUCCUGCCUACGCCAGCCAGGCACACUCCUGCUUCAGGGCCUUUGCAUAGGCCGUUCCCAGAUACGUGCGUGACUCACUCCUUGUUUUCUCAAGGUCUUUACAAGGUAGCCUUCCCUGAUCACUGCAUCUAGGGCAGCAUUCCCUGCCAUUCUCUCCCUAACUCACAUCACCUUUUUCCAUAGUAUUAUUACUACCUAACAGCCUUCCAGGCUCCUCCGUCCAUGGGAUUUUCCAGGCAAGAGUACUGGAGUGGGGUGCCAUUGCCUUCUCCACCUAAUAGUGUACUAUCAUCAUAUUUGUCUAUUGUCUCUCUCUGUCACAAGAGGGAAGGGAACUU
Bos grunniens (domestic yak) is the source of this 1547-nucleotide long non-coding RNA. Lineage: Eukaryota; Metazoa; Chordata; Mammalia; Artiodactyla; Bovidae. The record is from Ensembl.